AUGACUCCCUCUCCUUCUCUCGCGCCACCAGAGGAACCUCUCCCUCUCGAUCCCUCUCUCCCUCCUAGCACCGUCACCAGGAGAGGAGCAACACCUCUGGACGACCACCCCUGCGACCCCGUGAGCUCGCCGCCUUCGAUCCGGUGCCGCCGGAGGCCACCAGCGCCGCCCAGGUGCCGCACCUCCUUCCUUAGCGCGCCUCCUUCCUUCCCCGGCCUCCUCCUCUCGCCAGUCACCAGGGACGCGCCUCCCUGCUACCGAAGAUGCCGCCAAGCUACGCCCCGCGGUCCUAUCCUCCGACCGCGCCAAGCCCCGCCACCGCCUGCUACCUCACCUCCCCAACCCGAGCUGGCCCGGAUCCGGCCAUCUUCGACACCUUGGGUCGCUGGCCAUGGACGCCUCUGCUCCAUCGCCGGAUGGCUGCUUCGUCGCGCGCCUCUGUUCGUCGUUGUUGUCAUCGUGGGCCCGUGUUGA
This 474-nucleotide ribosomal RNA is filed under the name Triticum aestivum (bread wheat). RNAcentral describes it as "partial small subunit ribosomal RNA". Lineage: Eukaryota; Viridiplantae; Streptophyta; Magnoliopsida; Poales; Poaceae. The record is from RNAcentral.